GGCAACCCUCUGGGGUCCCCUUGCACGCUGUGGAAGCUUUAUUGUUUCACUCUUUGCAAUAAAUCUUGCUGCUGCUCACUCUUUGGGUCCACACUGCCUUUAUGAGCUGUAACACUCACGAUGAAGUUCUGCAGCUUCACUCCUGAAGCCAGCGACACCACAAACCCACCAGGAGGAAGGAACAACUCCAGAUGCACCUCCUUAAGAGCUGUGACACUCACCGCGAAGGUCCGCAGCUUCACUCCUGAGCCGGCGAGACCACGAACCCCACCAGAAGGAAGAAACUCUGAACACCUCCGAACAUCAGAAGGAACAAACUCUGGACACGCUGCCUUUAGGAACUGUAACACUCACCGCGAGGGUCCCCGGCUUCAUUCUUGAAGUCAGUGAGACCAAAAUCCCACCAAUUCUGGACACACUAGGAAGACUGAGACCCAAUUGGACCAUCAAAGAACGACCCAAUCACCAGCACAAAGCUAAUAAACUUGUAAGCUUUCAAUACAAAUAACGUUGGAACAUAGCUAGGAAGACUUCAGGAGACAGAUUCUCUUUGCAGAGUCUCUGGGAGCCUUUCUCUCUACCAUGUGGAUGCCUGCAGAAGCCUGCACAGUCAUUCUGCCACAUGCACUGUGGAUACACAGCUGAUUUACAGCUGGGCUGAAAAAGCCUCAUCUCUGUUUCUGGGGAUUCCAGGAUAUCCUGUUUUUGACUCUUAGCUAAGACGGAAAAAGUGAUGCUCACGCCAGAGAAGAGUCAGCCCAAGGUCAUCUAGGAUCAGUGGCACACCUAGGAUUCAGGCCCAAGGACCCCCAGCUGACCUGCCUUCCCUGGAACCUCACUGUGAGUUCUUUAACCAUGGCUGUGUUUUCAAAGUUGAACUGGGGCUGCUGUUGAUACCACCUUUAAAUGCCUGCUUUUGUCAUGGAGACCAUGAGAACUUCACUCUUCAGCUGGCAAUUUACCUGGCUGCACAGUGCUCAGGCACACACAGGCUUCAGGGCUACAAGGUAAAGGAUUUGCCAAGGCCAAGUGCUGAAACCCACUUCUUGUUUUGAAGCAAAUGAGAACUUCCACCUGUAUUUGACCUGGAAGUUGUGGUUCUCCUGCCCAGCCUGCUGCCACUGAGCCAUGCAGAUAUGCUGUCCAGCCCAUCACCAGUGAUUUGUAUGUAUAUUGGUUCUUCUGUUCAGCUCACUGCUGAACUGGACUCUCUCCUCUGCAGGUAAGCCCCCAAUAAAACCCCAUGUAUCAUUUAUUAGCUUGGAGUCUUCUCUUCAGCCUCUUGAAC
This 1288-nucleotide long non-coding RNA is filed under the name Homo sapiens (human). RNAcentral's name for it is "HSALNT0315879". The record is from RNAcentral. Lineage: Eukaryota; Metazoa; Chordata; Mammalia; Primates; Hominidae.